Molecule: ribosomal RNA, 348 nt
Filed under: Triticum aestivum (bread wheat)
Lineage: Eukaryota; Viridiplantae; Streptophyta; Magnoliopsida; Poales; Poaceae
Description: partial small subunit ribosomal RNA
Source: RNAcentral
AUGCCUGGCGACAAGGCGCCUGGGCCGGAUGGCUUCACCGGCCUCUUCUUCAAGAUGUGUUGGGGCAUCAUUAAGCACGACCUCAUGAGGAUGAUUCAAUGCUUUGACUCCCUCCACACAACAAAUCUUCACUGGCUCAACUCUGCGAAUAUUGUCCUGCUUCCCAAGAAGGAUGGGGCGGAGAGCAUCGUAGACUAUAGGCCUAUCAGUCUCAUUCAUGGAAUCGCUAAGAUCAUUGCGAAAGUGCUUUCCAUCAGGCUCGGACCGCACAUGUCUGCCCUCGUCUCCAACACUCAAAGUGCUUUCAUCAAAACACGGAGCAUCCACGACAACUUCAUGUAUGUUUGA